This 423-nucleotide ribosomal RNA is filed under the name uncultured bacterium. RNAcentral's name for it is "bacterial SSU rRNA". It matches the Rfam family "Bacterial small subunit ribosomal RNA", at positions 29 to 495 of the family's 1533-position model. The record is from RNAcentral.
AGCGAACGCUGGCGGCAGGCUUAACACAUGCAAGUCGAACGGGCGUAGCAAUACGUCAGUGGCAGACGGGUGAGUAACGCGUGGGAACGUACCUUUUGGUUCGGAACAACCCAGGGAAACUUGGGCUAAUACCGGAUAAGCCCUUACGGGGAAAGAUUUAUCGCCGAAAGAUCGGCCCGCGUCUGAUUAGCUAGUUGGUGUGGUAACGGCGCACCAAGGCGACGAUCAGUAGCUGGUCUGAGAGGAUGAUCAGCCACAUUGGGACUGAGACACGGCCCAAACUCCUACGGGAGGCAGCAGUGGGGAAUAUUGGACAAUGGGCGCAAGCCUGAUCCAGCCAUGCCGCGUGAGUGAUGAAGGCCCUAGGGUUGUAAAGCUUCUUUUGUGCGGGAAGAUAAUGACGGUACGCAAGAAUAAGCCCCG